UCUCGGGUCGUCUAAUGGCAGGACAACGCCCUUUGGAGGCGCAUGUGGAGGUUCGACUCCUCCCCUGAGAA
RNAcentral lists this transfer RNA (71 nucleotides) under Bacteroidota bacterium. RNAcentral's name for it is "Bacteroidetes bacterium (activated sludge metagenome) tRNA-Gln". It matches the Rfam family "tRNA". From Rfam's summary of the family: Transfer RNA (tRNA) molecules are approximately 80 nucleotides in length. Their secondary structure includes four short double-helical elements and three loops (D, anti-codon, and T loops). The record is from RNAcentral. Lineage: Bacteria; Pseudomonadati; Bacteroidota.